Molecule: non-coding RNA, 3728 nt
Organism: Anas platyrhynchos (mallard)
Lineage: Eukaryota; Metazoa; Chordata; Aves; Anseriformes; Anatidae
Source: RefSeq, a predicted model, not a curated record
GUCCAGCUGCAACAAGAUUGCGGAUUCUUGGCGACCAUCUGAAUUCAGCGAGGAAAUAACAAUACUGUGCACCGAGACAGUGGCAACUGCCGCCUUAAACAUCUCGCUUUGCAUUUCAAAUACUCUUUUUUUUCCCCUGUUUUCUCUGAUGUAGGUGGCAGGUAGAGCUGGGAACAAAGGUAUAGCAGUGGAAAGUACUUGCUUUUCUUGAGAGAGGUGUCUCUUUCUGAACAGCUGGACGAAAAUCAUCAGUUUUGUUGCAGGACGUGCAGUGUAAUCGUGCGUUUUGAGAGGCUGAGGUUUGAGCUCAACGUCAUUACCGCUGGCACAUGAACAGGCUGAUACUCACACUCAGCAUCACGUUCCUGAGCAAUUCGUUUAGGAAAUGACCAAGGGAGGAGUGCCAGAGCUCUCCUUGCAAGAAGCAGACUGUCCUUUACCCAGAGGAAAAGAACCUGGAAGUUUUUAUCCCUAAACCACGCCAUAUACACGUGUGUUUGGAAGCUGCACCUACGCCUGACGCCCUGCCCAGCACUGCCAAACGCCAGCAUCUCGAGUGAUCUGAAAAUUCAGCUGUCUUCGUGAGUUAAAGCACUUCUCCAACAGCGUCAUUGCCUGGUUUGCAAAUGUUUCUGAUCUAAUGCUUUCAGCUGUCAUCCAACUGCAGCACGUCUGGGGCAGAGGCCACAUGCUGGUGUUUGUUUAUUUGUUUUUUCCUUGCUUAGGAGUGGAGCAGCAAAGCUGGGACAGUGGCAUAAAUGCAGAUAAAAACCAAGGAUCUCAGCACACCUCCUCCAUCGGAUGCCAAACGUUAGAUACUUACAGCAGAGGUGCUUUUGUGUGAUCCGUGAGGACAAGCUGGAGUUUCGGGAAAUACCCGGUGGUUGGUUCUGAUCUGCUUUGAAAACAGCCUUCCGGAAGCAUCCCAGAAUUUUACCAGUUUAUCCCAAAUUUCAGGGGUGAACGCACAGUUCUUGGGGGCAGGGCUGGGACAUCUCCAGGUCGAGACGAACCAAUUUCUUUCCAUAACCCAGUUUUCAGAGGAAUGAGCUUGUCGAGGAAGUCGUAUUCCCUCAUUCGGAGGCCAGAAAUUAAGCAACAUCCCUAAAUUCAGACACAGCUCUUGAAAUAGCUGUUUCCUUUUUCAAUAUCUGCGUGUUCACCGACAGAGCUGGAAGCCCCGCAGCCCACAGGGAGCGUACGUACUCUGGCAGUGGGUGACAACCCCAGAGGCUACAGCCUGGAUCAAUAAGGCAGGCACAAAAACAGGGUGGUGAAAUGAUUUACUUAAAGAUAAGACUUAUCUCUCUGCACCCCAAAAAACGCUAGCCCCUCGAUUGCCUGAUGGAGCUGCAAGGAGCACGGCCUCACGGGCAGGGCAAUGGUUAAUUCGACACGAAAGCAGAAGAGAGCAUCUCGCUACGGAUUUAAUUCACCCACUUGCCUUCCCUUACCUCCAUUGUAAACCCGAGGGCCUGCAUUCAUACAGGAGUGCUCCUGCUAGAAAUGACGCUGGCAAUAAAUAUUGUGAAAAUCGGCAUUGUUUUGUUAAAAAAAAAAAAAGAGAGAGAGAGAGAGAGAGUGGAUGUGCACCUCCAGUGACCUCGAUUUUUCACUUCGCUGGAGUGAUUAUAAAUGGCUUUGCUUCUCCAUCAGCUCUGUCACAGACAGGACUCCUUCUUUUUGCCUCGCUGCCCAGAUACAGGUGUGCCGAAUUUUUUAUUCCUGCCUCCAAAUGCUGCCUGCGUGCCAAGAGCGAGAGCGCAAGACAUGGAUGGAAGACAAAUUGUCGGGGCUACCCAUGCCGAAAGGGCAUGCAGGAUGGGUGCAGGGGCAGUGCUGGACUCUUCCCAUCCGUGGCUCAGCUCAGCCCUCGUGGAUCUCACAGAGCUGGGGAUGUGCGUGCAGAAAGAGAGAUGGAUCAUGAGGAGCACAGCCCUGGAGGCUUCCCUUGCGGUUGUGAGGGUAUCCAAAGGUGUAAAGGAUGGCUAAAAUGAGGGACGUAGCUUGGGCUGGGUAUUGAAGGGGAUGUGAUGAGGAGGGCUUGGCAGGAAUUAAGGAAAAAUUGGCCCUGCCUGACAGCAAGGUCCCCUUCUCUGUGCUGCGUGGUGUUUAUCCAGCCGUGCCGAGGAAUAGGCACGCCCGUGCCAGGAGCUGGGAAGCGAAACUGCGCAAAGACGGGGGGAAAAAAAUAAAAAGAAGAAAAAAAAAUAAAAAAGGAGAGAGAGAGAGAAAGAAAUCCAAGCUCAAAGAAAAAAAAAAAAAAAAAAAAAAAAACUGGAGGAAAAAGCACCAGGCCAGAAAGCCAGUGUGCUGAAAUUAAUUAGUUCGGACUGGGUCUGCCGGGCGCUCGCAGUAGCGGAGGGGCCGCAAUCCUCGCCGUGCUCGGGAAUGUCACACUCGGGCACAGCGGCUGCUUUCCAGCCUUUCCUUCGCUCCCCCCGCACGCUGAGCUGAAGCCAAGGAGGGAGAGGGAGGGAGGGAGAGAGGGAGGAAAAAGCGAGGCCGAGAGCUUUCUGCGGUCGGCGGGGGCCUAUAAAUAGCCGCUGAAGUCUUCUAAUGCCGAUGGGGUGCGUCAUGCUGGCCCUCCCCGCUCUCGCUCCGCUCGCCGGCCCCGAGCUCGGAGAAGGGGGGGUAAAAAUCCCGAGGAUGCUGCUGGCCUCGUGCAGGCGUUGCAAAGGGUCUUCCAGGUCCCGUCACCCUCGCAGGGGGCAAAAGGCAGAGGCGGAGAGGUGCCAGAGGGGAUUUUGAGACGGUGUUUUCCGUCCUUGUCCCUGCCGCAAGCCACUGGGGAUGGCCCCCUUGUUUCUUCUGUGAGCCCCCAGGUGCAGCCCCCAGGUGCAGCAAGCUGUGCUGGGGCUCUUCUUGCAAAGAACCCAUGUCCAAGGCAAUAUAAUGCACAGGGAGGCCUUUUUUACUAAACCAAAUGAGAUCCCAGUCAUUUUUCUUUUUUUCAUUUGCAACACUGAGGUAUUUUUGAGCAUCUUGACGCUGCUUUAUUUCUCUGUUUUUGCUCCAGUCCCUUAUUCUUUUAGGAUUUGCUUACAUCAAUCCAUCAGGAAGAAGCAGGGGAACGUGCUGAUGAGCAUCUUGUCUGCAUAAACUUGUCCGAAACUGGACCUGCUAAAGGCAAAGCUGCCAGGCUGACACGUGGGAUAUGCUUCUUCUCAAGGAACGCAGUGAGUUCUCCCAGAUUUGGGGCUCUCCUUGGAGAGCACGUGGGGAGCAGCACGUGGUGAUCUCUGCCACAUCAGGGCAGUCUGAAGUGUCUGAAGCAGUGAAAAAUUGCCAAAGAGAGGGUGCAGGAUCAUCUGCCCCUAGGAACAACCCCAUCCCAAGCUGAGCUUCAAAGGUAUCCAAGCAUCACUGACGUCCUGGUGUCCAAAGCAAAGCUUAAGCUUCAAAACUUAGGGGUUUGUUGCUGUUUUGAAAGGCUGGGUGCAGAAGGAACCCCAGCCUAAGGUCCAGUGAAUGAAAUUCCUGCCGUGAAAUGUCUGGCCAGGCUCUCUGUUCAGAGAUGGAGAAUUUGCCCUGCUCCCGACGGGUCCUGUAUCGAGGAGGAAAUGCCAAUGGAUGUGUCAGAGGGGCUUUUUGGUUUGGUGCCGUCUCAAGCAGCACUGGAUAUAGGCACAAUUGUAGAGACCUUCAGCUCUUCAUGUUUUUAGCACCCACGUUGUUAGUACGGGUACACACACCUUUCAAAGGCACAAAUAAAACAUGCAGCUCAA